RNAcentral lists this long non-coding RNA (1058 nucleotides) under Populus tremula. Its description in RNAcentral is "long non-coding RNA (PTRE_LNC002616)". Lineage: Eukaryota; Viridiplantae; Streptophyta; Magnoliopsida; Malpighiales; Salicaceae. The record is from RNAcentral.
AGGCCACUUGCAUGAGCAGGUUUUGCUGUUUGCUUACGUUGUAGCAGAGAUAACUAAUUCACCUAGUGGUGUUCUCUGCAGCUAAAUGCAUCAACAAAAACUCUCAAUAUCUUUCUCUAUUUGCCCCUCUAAGAUGUUCUCCAGUGAUUUCUUGAUUACUACUUCUAGCAAUGUUGAUUUUAACUUUCAAGAAGGCAUAUGCAUCUCUGCAUAUUAGCCACUUCUCUCAAAAAGCUUCAAGAAAGUCAUCCUUAACAAGUUUAUAUAUGCAUUACUACCAGUUUCUGGCAAGGGUCACAACAAUCUGACUCAACAAGGACUUAAUUGGUUUAAAAACUUGUGAGCAGUGUUUUAGUUUGAUACCUCAGUGAUGAUUAUAGUACAUUCAUUUUCUCAUAUGUCCAUGGAAAAUCUUGUUUACUCAGUUGAUCACUGGAUACAAUUUAAUUGGUGAUGAGCUCCUUGUCACCUUAGAGUUUAUCGGAAAUCAUUACAAAAAACCAAGAGGAAAGGUAAGCUUCCGGAUGGCAUCAAUUACUGUAUUGCUGGAGGGAAUGCAGGAAGAGUUGCCAUUUCUAAUGGCUCUUUGUGUUGCUUAUUGGAAAAUGAAGAUUGUGUCGAGAAGCGAUAAGAGUACAGUCCAGAAAUCCUCGGCUUGUCUUACCAUGUGCUUUGUCACAACAUUCUGCACUGAUCUGACAAGAAAUUCAUGAAAAGGGGUUGGAUAAACCCAAACCGCACUGUUUAUUCUCAAUCAAGAUUUAAUCUGCUGAAAAGAAUUCCUCCAGAAAACGAUGUGAUGGACAGGAUUUAUAAAUAUUUUUAGAAAAACAGCUUUUAAUUAGCUCAAGCCUGUUUUAACAUGCUUUGGACCCAAACAUAGGUCAUGGGCCAAGUCAUUGGGCACACACUAGCACUCGUGAGCGUAGUCACAUGUUUGAGCCCAAUGAUCCAUAGACUCGAUGUUAUUUUUAUUCUCAACAUACAUGUAAUGUUAUUUUUACACGACAUUCAUUUUAUAUUAAGAAUAAAAACAAAUAAUUUUAUUUUUAGAACUU